GUCGCAGGAUUCUACCGAGCCUCUUCCCCAUCGGUUGAUUGUUGACGCUGGGCCCUGGUUCUUUUCUCCACUGCCGGCUUCUUCUUCCAUUAGCCACCGACAGAGAGGGAACGAGGGGCACUGGUUAGGAGAGGCAGAUUUGAGUAGCAGUAACUUCUAGUUCCGGUCAUUAUAUCACCAAGGCACGCGUCUCCGACAGUGACUCAACAGUCGGGCAUACGCAAUUGGGAGCUUGACGCGAGACGUGUUUCUCAAUUAUUGGAUUUGGACCACUUUAUUGGAGGCGGGUACUUUGACUUGUGUCUUUUGAUAUGCAUGAUAAUAUGUUUAACAUAUAACAGUAAUUGUG
This is a long non-coding RNA of Zingiber officinale, 349 nucleotides long. RefSeq lists it as uncharacterized. The record is from RefSeq and is a predicted model, not a curated record. The transcript is spliced from 3 exons. NCBI's taxonomy places the organism in Eukaryota, Viridiplantae, Streptophyta, Magnoliopsida, Zingiberales, Zingiberaceae.